GUCUGUAUGCUCACUUAUAUAAAGUCGGACCUGCCCACUGAUACUAACCUAUUGAAGGGCCGCGGUAAUCUGACCGUGCGAAGGUAGCAUAAUCAAUUGUCUUUUAAUUGGAGGCUUGGAUGAACGGUCUGACGACAGAGAAGCUGUCCCUUUUACUCAGCUUGAAUUUAACUUUUGUGUGAAAAGGCACAAAUAAAAUAGGGGGACGAUAAGACCCUAUAAAACUUUAUACGGCCAGAAGAAGCUAGCAACCAAUAAACUAGAACUACUCUUAAGUAUUGAACUGGGGCGGUUGAAAUAUAAUCAGUAACUGUUUUAUAAAAAAUAUACCAAUAAGUAUCCAAUGAACCUUCAAAAUGAAGAUUGAAAGAUUAAGUUACUUUAGGGAUAACAGCGUAAUUUUCUUUAAGAGUCCAAAUCGACAAGAUAAGUUGCGACCUCGAUGUUGAAUUAAGGUGUACCCUCAGGAGUAGAAAUUUGAGCCGGUAGGUCUGUUCGACCUUUCAUCCCUUACAUGAUUUGAGUUUAAACCGGUGUGAG
This 540-nucleotide ribosomal RNA is filed under the name Arete indicus. Its description in RNAcentral is "partial large subunit ribosomal RNA". It matches the Rfam family "Bacterial large subunit ribosomal RNA", at positions 1829 to 2625 of the family's 2925-position model. The record is from RNAcentral. Lineage: Eukaryota; Metazoa; Arthropoda; Malacostraca; Decapoda; Alpheidae.